Larimichthys crocea (large yellow croaker) is the source of this 475-nucleotide long non-coding RNA. RefSeq lists it as uncharacterized. Lineage: Eukaryota; Metazoa; Chordata; Actinopteri; Sciaenidae. The record is from RefSeq and is a predicted model, not a curated record. The transcript has 3 exons.
CGUCUGACGGUUGAUGUGUUAUUUCUGGCAGUAAGAGCUGACGAGUGUACGGGCGUAAUGCCGAGGAGGUGAAAUCUGCCCUCCUGGCUGCCCACCCUGGACUGACUGUGGUCCUCAACCCUGAGAAACCUCGCCGGAACAGCUUCGAGAUCACUCUGCUGGAUGGAGGCAAAGAAACAUCUCUGUGGACUGGAAUAAAAAAGGGUCCGCCUCGCAAGCUGAAAUUUCCUCAACCUGAUGUUGUAGUUGCUGCUCUGCAGGAGGUUCUGAAGAAUGAGUAGACGCCCAGUGAAGCCAAGAGUUGAGGAGAUGUGGCCCAUGAAAGCAGUAUGACGAGGAGAGACCAAUGAGACGUUCUCAGUCCCUCCUCUGAUGAGCCGAGCUUCAACGCUUACAUCUUCUGGAUACAUAGUGACACCCAGUGGAGCCUCUCUGAACUAGUACAUUUCUCAGAUGUUGUUUUGUUUGUUUUUUU